AGCGAACGCUGGCGGCAGGCUUAACACAUGCAAGUCGAACGGGCGUAGCAAUACGUCAGUGGCAGACGGGUGAGUAACGCGUGGGAACGUACCUUUUGGUUCGGAACAACUGAGGGAAACUUCAGCUAAUACCGAAUAAGCCCUUACGGGGAAAGAUUUAUCGCCGAAAGAUCGGCCCGCGUCUGAUUAGCUUGUUGGUGAGGUAACGGCUCACCAAGGCGACGAUCAGUAGCUGGUCUGAGAGGAUGAUCAGCCACAUUGGGACUGAGACACGGCCCAAACUCCUACGGGAGGCAGCAGUGGGGGAAUAUUGGACAAUGGGCGGAAAGACCUGAUCCAGCCAUGCCGCGUGAGUGAUGAAGGCCCUAGGGUUGUAAAGCUCUUUUGUGCGGGAAGAUAAUGACGGUACCGCAAG
Molecule: ribosomal RNA, 415 nt
Filed under: uncultured bacterium
Lineage: Bacteria
Description: bacterial SSU rRNA
Rfam family: Bacterial small subunit ribosomal RNA
Source: RNAcentral